Molecule: long non-coding RNA, 204 nt
Filed under: Mytilus galloprovincialis (Mediterranean mussel)
Lineage: Eukaryota; Metazoa; Mollusca; Bivalvia; Mytilida; Mytilidae
Source: RNAcentral
AUAACCUAAUUACAGAAAUCGCUUAAAUUUUACAAUUAUUUAGUUUAUGUAUAGCUUAUUUGAAAACAAUAAUAAAAAAUAUAGGUCACCGAUGAGUUAAAAAAGAUAUUUCAAAUUUAGUCCAAAAAAUGGCAUUUUUGCUCCAAAGGGAGAUAAUAUGGAGCUUUUUCAAUGAUAUAAACAUUUUAAAAGUCAUCUGGGGCC